GCUCCCUAAGAGACUCCCCUCUGUCCCCACAGCCCCCUUCUCUGCUUAGGCCCCCUGAGGGUACUGCAGGAAAGCUAGGGGAAAGAAUGACAGAGAAAUCAGCAGUGAUUGUCCUUUAUGUGUAGGUGGUUCCUCCGCUUGCAGCAUGUUUACUUCUCUCUCAAGCGUACCUCACAAUAGCCCUGGAAUGGAGGCCUGGCAGGUUGUCAGCCUUUCUGUGUCACCAAUGAAGAAACCAAGGCUCAGAGAGGCCUCUGGUCCCAGGUAUGUCACUCAGAAGUUACACCUCCACCCCUAGGACUGUAGCUGAUGAUGGGUACCACUCAGGCACGUGGAUGUAGCUAACAGGAUCAAGGAAGGACAAAGAGACCUUUCCCAGAAGCUGAUCCUCCCAGCCAGAGAAGCUGUUAGCACUGGGGAGCUGAGACUACUGCGACGUGUAGGGCCCUCUCCCGUUGGGAAGGAGGAAUGUCCAGGCCAGCACAGCAGUAGGGGCUUCUUCUGGGACCAAGUCACAUGAAGGGAAAGCAAAUCGCCUGGACACAGUUUCCACUGUGCUGCCUUCUGGCCUCGGUUUAGGAAUGAAAUUCAGACUCCAUGGCUUCUAUGAGUGGAGGGAAGGCAUGCCUAGAUCAGAACAAUCUGCCUCCCUACUCCAGCACAUCAAAGGAAAGUAGCAGCUUUGGGGAUCUAAAGCUCUUGGAUCUUUCAGGACCAAUGAGAUGGAAACCAUCUCUGUGGGGAGAUGCUACCAGUCAUGGGAGGCUUUUGGAAGGUUCAGUAAGGUGAGCUUUCCCAGGAGACUUGGGCUCCCAAAGGAGGGGCAAGAAGAGUAUGUUGAAA
Molecule: long non-coding RNA, 843 nt
Organism: Cebus imitator (Panamanian white-faced capuchin)
Lineage: Eukaryota; Metazoa; Chordata; Mammalia; Primates; Cebidae
Exons: 3
Source: RefSeq, a predicted model, not a curated record